Molecule: transfer RNA, 74 nt
Filed under: Pseudarthrobacter sp. BIM B-2242
Lineage: Bacteria; Bacillati; Actinomycetota; Actinomycetes; Micrococcales; Micrococcaceae
Rfam family: tRNA
About the family: Transfer RNA (tRNA) molecules are approximately 80 nucleotides in length. Their secondary structure includes four short double-helical elements and three loops (D, anti-codon, and T loops). Further hydrogen bonds mediate the characteristic L-shaped molecular structure. tRNAs have two regions of fundamental functional importance: the anti-codon, which is responsible for specific mRNA codon recognition, and the 3' end, to which the tRNAs corresponding amino acid is attached (by aminoacyl-tRNA synthetases). tRNAs cope with the degeneracy of the genetic code in two manners: having more than one tRNA (with a specific anti-codon) for a particular amino acid; and 'wobble' base-pairing, i.e. permitting non-standard base-pairing at the 3rd anti-codon position.
Source: Rfam by way of RNAcentral
CGCAGAGUAGAGCAGCUCGGCAGCUCGCCUGGUUCAUACCCAGGAGGUCGCGGGUUCAAAUCCCGCCUCUGCAA